GCUUACGGCCACACCGCCUGGUUCACGCCCGAUCUCGUUUGAUCUCGGAAGAUAAGAUAGGUUGGGCCUGGUUAGUACUUGGAUGGAAGACCGCCUAGGCAUACCAGGUGCUGUAAGGC
Scophthalmus maximus (turbot) is the source of this 119-nucleotide ribosomal RNA. The record is from Ensembl. NCBI's taxonomy places the organism in Eukaryota, Metazoa, Chordata, Actinopteri, Pleuronectiformes, Scophthalmidae.